CCUACGGGAGGCAGCAGUGAGGAAUAUUUGACAAUGGACGAGAGUCUGAACCAGCCACGCAGCGUGAAGGAUGACUGCCCUAUGGGUUGUAAACUUCUUUUAUAAAGGAAUAAAACGAGGCACGUGUGCCUUUUUGAACGUACUUUAUGAAUAAGGAUCGGCUAACUCCGUGCCAGCAGCCGCGGUAAUACGGAGGAUCUGAGCGUUAUCCGGAUUUAUUGGGUUUAAAGUGAGCGUAGAUGGGUUGUUAAGUCAGUUGUGAAAGUUUGCGGCUCAACCGUAAAAUUGCAAUUGAUACUGGCAGUCUUGAGUACAGUUGAGGUAGGCGGAAUUCGUGGUGUAGCGGUGAAAUGCUUAGAUAUCACGAAGAACCCCGAUUGCGAAGGCAGCUUACUAAGCUGUGACUGACAUUGAGGCUCGAAAGUGUGGGUAUCAAACAGGAUUAGAUACCCCUGUAGUC
RNAcentral lists this ribosomal RNA (460 nucleotides) under uncultured bacterium. RNAcentral describes it as "partial 16S ribosomal RNA". It matches the Rfam family "Bacterial small subunit ribosomal RNA", at positions 338 to 795 of the family's 1533-position model. The record is from RNAcentral.